Molecule: non-coding RNA, 46 nt
Organism: Biomphalaria glabrata
Lineage: Eukaryota; Metazoa; Mollusca; Gastropoda; Planorbidae
Source: Rfam
UAUUAGGUCUCCUUCGAGACCACCAACUCUAAUAGGCACUAGGCCU